This 465-nucleotide ribosomal RNA is filed under the name Vreelandella stevensii. Its description in RNAcentral is "partial 16S ribosomal RNA". It matches the Rfam family "Bacterial small subunit ribosomal RNA", at positions 338 to 795 of the family's 1533-position model. The record is from RNAcentral. Lineage: Bacteria; Pseudomonadati; Pseudomonadota; Gammaproteobacteria; Oceanospirillales; Halomonadaceae.
CCUACGGGUGGCAGCAGUGGGGAAUAUUGGACAAUGGGCGAAAGCCUGAUCCAGCCAUGCCGCGUGUGUGAAGAAGGCCUUCGGGUUGUAAAGCACUUUCAGUGGGGAAGAAAGCCUUGGGGCUAAUACCCUCGAGGAAGGACAUCACCCACAGAAGAAGCACCGGCUAACUCCGUGCCAGCAGCCGCGGUAAUACGGAGGGUGCGAGCGUUAAUCGGAAUUACUGGGCGUAAAGCGCGCGUAGGCGGUCUGAUAAGCCGGUUGUGAAAGCCCCGGGCUCAACCUGGGAACGGCAUCCGGAACUGUCAGGCUAGAGUGCAGGAGAGGAAGGUAGAAUUCCCGGUGUAGCGGUGAAAUGCGUAGAGAUCGGGAGGAAUACCAGUGGCGAAGGCGGCCUUCUGGACUGACACUGACGCUGAGGUGCGAAAGCGUGGGUAGCAAACAGGAUUACAUACCCGUGUAGUC